CUUUCAUUUUUUGGGCAGAAGUGAUCUCAACACUCCCAAAGAGCAUCCUCAGUCCUGAAGAGCCUCAUCCUGCUGGGAAAACCAGAGCUACCUGUGCAAACACCUGAAAUGGGGAAUUUCAGGGAGCUCUUUUAAUUUCUUUUCAUUUUAAUUUUAAUUUAGUUCUUUGGGACAUUAUGAUCCAGGAUUUUCAAAAUUUUUGGAAAGUAAAUUACAUUCCCUCCAGCAAGUAGAGGAUUUCCCUGUGUGUUAAUAAUAGCAAUAAACUGAUUAUUCCCCCUGACAAAAGCCAAGCUGCUUGGCACUGCUGUUGUACAGGGGUAGGAGUUCACUCUCAUUAAAUGAAUUUUUGCUCUAGUUUAUUUUCCACAUUUGCCUUUUCUAUUCUCACUUCUUCCUCAUAAGCAGAAUUGAGAGUGUUUUUUCAAGAAUCCCAGAACAUUAUGAGUAUUUUUGAAUUUAGGAUAAAAAGUGCCUUAGUCCCUUUAUUUCUGUGAUUUACCCUCCUAAGUCACCCAGGCUGCUUCCAAGGAAAUCCAUGGGGAGCUCUGAGAGUGUCUCCCCACUUUCUGUGGGAUAGAGAGAAAUUGGGGAGUGCCCACAGACCAGAGCUUGUAGAUAACCACAGACAGGUGAGUUAGUGAAUAAUUCUGAUUUUGGGAGAGUCUCAUAUGUUUUUAAAGCAGAAUGAGGAAAAUGUGAGGAAGCACCUCCAAACAGAUCACCCCAUAAAAUUCGUAUCAAGAUGGGCAUCAUGAUUUCCAGAGGAUGGAUGAGGGAAAUGGAUCCCACACAUGGGAUCCUGAACUGGAUCAACCCAAGUGUUGAGUUUAGACACUCCUGCCUUAGGGAGGGUUUUUGUGUUCCCUUGCAGUACCCUUCCUCUGCAGAGAUCAGCUUCAAGAAGAUGUCCUGGGACCCCAAGAGAGGCUUUGUCAUCCCCUCCCACUCCUUCGUGCCCUCCGGGAUCCUCACAUGCUCAGCCCACGUCAAUGGCAGCGUCUUCAACUCCUACUACAUGGCCCAGAGACUGGAACUUGGACUGGCGCCACUCCUGGUUUUGAAAAAAGACCAAGUGCUGAGGUGGUACAAAACAGAAGUGUUUUAUUCAAACCCCACCAAGGCUUUGUUUGCUUGGAUUGAGCUGUAUUUACAUUAAAACAACUGCUGGUUCAGGACAAAGCAAACAGCAGCUUUCUUUUUGCUUCUGGUCAUUAACCACGUGUGAUUGUCGUAUAAAAACCUCACUACACUGCUAAUUCACACCUUUGCUUUUUAUAGAUUUUCUCUUGGUGAUUUACUACAUAAUUUCCCUUAGAUUUACAGCUGAGCUUCAGCUCAUAAUUAAAACCUGAAUUUGAAGCAACCAAACAUUAAAUUUUUGAGUGCUGGGUAUUUAUAUGAAACCAAUUAGAAUUUAUUUUUCUUUUGUUUUCCAUGUAUGUUCCUUAUCCCCUCAUAUAUCUUCUAUUUACUUGGACUUCAUUCCCAUUAGCUCAUGGCAUCCUUCUUUACAAUCAGCACUCAGCUUUGAACAACAGGCUUGUAAAUUUGUGUGGCAGCCAAAUAAAAGUCCGGUAAAUCUCUCUUUUUCUCCUUUU
This 1601-nucleotide long non-coding RNA is filed under the name Parus major (Great Tit). RNAcentral's name for it is "lncRNA (ENSPMJG00000001734.1)". Lineage: Eukaryota; Metazoa; Chordata; Aves; Passeriformes; Paridae. The record is from RNAcentral.